RNAcentral lists this ribosomal RNA (253 nucleotides) under uncultured bacterium. Its description in RNAcentral is "partial 16S ribosomal RNA". It matches the Rfam family "Bacterial small subunit ribosomal RNA", at positions 524 to 776 of the family's 1533-position model. The record is from RNAcentral.
UACGGAGGGGGCUAGCGUUGUUCGGAAUUACUGGGCGUAAAGCGCGCGUAGGCGGAUCGGAAAGUUGGGGGUGAAAUCCCGGGGCUCAACCUCGGAACUGCCUUCAAAACUAUCGGUCUGGAGUUCGAGAGAGGUGAGUGGAAUUCCGAGUGUAGAGGUGAAAUUCGUAGAUAUUCGGAGGAACACCAGUGGCGAAGGCGGCUCACUGGCUCGAUACUGACGCUGAGGUGCGAAAGCGUGGGGAGCAAACAGG